This 610-nucleotide ribosomal RNA is filed under the name Rhodococcus coprophilus. Its description in RNAcentral is "bacterial SSU rRNA". It matches the Rfam family "Bacterial small subunit ribosomal RNA", at positions 46 to 669 of the family's 1533-position model. The record is from RNAcentral. Lineage: Bacteria; Bacillati; Actinomycetota; Actinomycetes; Mycobacteriales; Nocardiaceae.
GCUUAACACAUGCAAGUCGAACGAUGAUGCCCAGCUUGCUGGGCGGAUUAGUGGCGAACGGGUGAGUAACACGUGGGUGAUCUGCCCUGCACUUCGGGAUAAGCCUGGGAAACUGGGUCUAAUACCGGAUAUGACCACAGGAUGCAUGUUUUGUGGUGGAAAGGUUUACUGGUGCAGGAUGAGCCCGCGGCCUAUCAGCUUGUUGGUGGGGUAAUGGCCUACCAAGGCGACGACGGGUAGCCGGCCUGAGAGGGCGACCGGCCACACUGGGACUGAGACACGGCCCAGACUCCUACGGGAGGCAGCAGUGGGGAAUAUUGCACAAUGGGCGAAAGCCUGAUGCAGCGACGCCGCGUGAGGGAUGACGGCCUUCGGGUUGUAAACCUCUUUCAGCAGGGACGAAGCGCAAGUGACUGUACCUGCAGAAGAAGCACCGGCUAACUACGUGCCAGCAGCCGCGGUAAUACGUAGGGUGCGAGCGUUGUCCGGAAUUACUGGGCGUAAAGAGUUCGUAGGCGGUUUGUCGCGUCGUGUGUGAAAUCCCGCAGCUCAACUGCGGGCUUGCAGGCGAUACGGGCAGACUUGAGUACUGCAGGGGAGACUGGAAUUC